UACAAGGGCAUUCCUGAUUAAGAUCUUUGUUGAAGGAUAGUCUAAAGGAACUGUGCUAUAUGAGUGCAUCAAAAGAAUAAAAUAAACAUGAGGGAUGAAAGAAUUUAAGCAAGAGACUUGAAAAGAUUUCUCUCAGAGGAAUGGGGUUCUUUGACAGCCUGUGAACUGGGAAGAAAAUUGUCCCUUUCGAGGGGAUACUGUCCAAUUUAUGAAGAGAAUGAUUUGAUGUAGAUGAAUUGUACGAUAGGGUACAAGAGGACCACAGGACUC
This is a long non-coding RNA of Chiroxiphia lanceolata (lance-tailed manakin), 270 nucleotides long. RefSeq lists it as uncharacterized. The record is from RefSeq and is a predicted model, not a curated record. The transcript has 3 exons. Lineage: Eukaryota; Metazoa; Chordata; Aves; Passeriformes; Pipridae.